Heteronotia binoei (common prickly gecko) is the source of this 974-nucleotide long non-coding RNA. RefSeq lists it as uncharacterized. The transcript has 2 exons. The record is from RefSeq and is a predicted model, not a curated record. NCBI's taxonomy places the organism in Eukaryota, Metazoa, Chordata, Lepidosauria, Squamata, Gekkonidae.
CUUGCCUGGCCGCUGCCGCGUAGCUGGGCACCAACCCUCUCCGCUAUGCAAUUAAAACUUGACUGAGCUGGCGAACAAACUAGUUAACUCGAUAACACUGGGAGCCAACCGCUUCAAGCAACGGUUAUGGGCCGGAACAGGAGAGCCGUUCCAAGCCACGCCCCUGGUAUCCCGGGGAGGUGCGAAAGGCAAGGCGCCAAGGGCCGCCAUUGGAGAAACCGCCGGGUUUGAAUCGCUCCCGGCGCCAGUUUAUUGGCUGCGAAUUGGUCGCGCGUUCCUUCUUCUCGCAGCCCAGUACCAACCUCCCAGAGUUCUCCAAGUUCUGCCUUUCUUUUAAGCCGACGAUUUCGACCUUGCUGGCAAAAUGAAAUGAAAUGACAUGAAAUCGACUACUAAACCUUUUCUUCUGUGGUUUAAUACCGGCAGCUUCGCGCGCUGCGGAGCUAGAUAUGGUAUAUCUGAAAGAGACCAACCCACUGAGGACUGGAAAGAUGCUGGAGGAAAAGCAGUAGUAGGGAUUUAACCUUGCUUUUAGUUCACUGAAUUCAUAUAACUGUACCAUUGGUUUCAUCUCACUGGCCUGAGGUUUAUAAUUGACAAUUUAGGGCAGAAAUUGUCUAAAUAAAAUUUUUAAAUUACCAAUUUCAACCCUUGAGUCCAAGUUUGACAAAGUAUCUUAGUAUACUAAGAUAGUUCUUCAACCCCAGCACUGGGUUAUGGAUUUCACAUGGGUAGAUUCCACCCUGGAACCUUUUUACAACAUUAAUAACUCGUUCUGUUUUUGCAAUAGUGAUUUCUUUAAGGUGCUAUCGAGGCUAGUUUUAAUUUGUUAACACUUUAUAUGAAAAUUGUGUAUGAGUAGUCUAAUUUUAUUCUGUCAUGGAUUUUAUUACCGUAUAUUUUAUUCUGUUGAUUGUUUAUACUUAAAACUUGUGGUCAAAAGAGCUUUUUAAUAAAAGGAAUUAAAUUUGAAA